GUAGGUGCGGAAGGAUCAU
This 19-nucleotide ribosomal RNA is filed under the name Pemphis acidula. RNAcentral's name for it is "partial 18S ribosomal RNA". The record is from RNAcentral. Lineage: Eukaryota; Viridiplantae; Streptophyta; Magnoliopsida; Myrtales; Lythraceae.